UGAGUACGACGGAGCACGUGAAAUUCCGUCGGAAUCUGGGAGGACCAUCUCCUAAGGCUAAAUACUCUCUAGUGACCGAUAGUGAACCAGUACCGUGAGGGAAAGGUGAAAAGCACCCCGGAAGGGGAGUGAAAUAGAACCUGAAACCGUGUGCUUACAAGUAGUCAGAGCCCGUUAAUGGGUGAUGGCGUGCCUUUUGUAGAAUGAACCGGCGAGUUACGAUUUGAUGCAAGGUUAAGCAGUAAAUGUGGAGCCGUAGCGAAAGCGAGUCUGAAUAGGGCGUUUAGUAUUUGGUCGUAGACCCGAAACCAGGUGAUCUACCCUUGGUCAGGUUGAAGUUCAGGUAACACUGAAUGGAGGACCGAACCGACUUACGUUGAAAAGUGAGCGGAUGAACUGAGGGUAGCGGAGAAAUUCCAAUCGAACCUGGAGAUAGCUGGUUCUCUCCGAAAUAGCUUUAGGGCUAGCCUCAAGUGAUGAUUAUUGGAGGUAGAGCACUGUUUGGACGAGGGGCCCCUCUCGGGUUACCGAAUUCAGACAAACUCCGAAUGCCAAUUAAUUUAACUUGGGAGUCAGAACAUGGGUGAUAAGGUCCGUGUUCGAAAGGGAAACAGCCCAGACCACCAGCUAAGGUCCCAAAAUAUAUGUUAAGUGGAAAAGGAUGUGGCGUUGCCCAGACAACUAGGAUGUUGGCUUAGAAGCAGCCAUCAUUUAAAGAGUGCGUAAUAGCUCACUAGUCGAGUGACACUGCGCCGAAAAUGUACCGGGGCUAAACAUAUUACCGAAGCUGUGGAUUGUCCUUUGGACAAUGGUAGGAGAGCGUU
This 824-nucleotide ribosomal RNA is filed under the name Staphylococcus aureus. Its description in RNAcentral is "partial 23S ribosomal RNA". It matches the Rfam family "Bacterial large subunit ribosomal RNA", at positions 409 to 1240 of the family's 2925-position model. The record is from RNAcentral. Lineage: Bacteria; Bacillati; Bacillota; Bacilli; Caryophanales; Staphylococcaceae.